AGUGAACGCUGGCGGUAGGCCUAACACAUGCAAGUCGAACGGCAGCACAGAGGAGCUUGCUCCUUGGGUGGCGAGUGGCGGACGGGUGAGGAAUACAUCGGAAUCUACUCUGUCGUGGGGGGUAACGUAGGGAAACUUACGCUAAUACCGCAUACGACCUACGGGUGAAAGCAGGGGAUCUUCGGACCUUGCGCGAUUGAAUGAGCCGAUGUCGGAUUAGCUAGUUGGCGGGGUAAAGGCCCACCAAGGCGACGAUCCGUAGCUGGGCUGGAGGGAUGAUCAGCCACACUGGAACUGAGACACGGUCCAGACUUCUACGGGAGGCAGCAGUGGGGAAUAUUGGACAAUGGGCGCAAGCCUGAUCCAGCCAUACCGCGUGGGUGAAGAAGGCCUUCGGGUUGUAAAGCCCUUUUGUUGGGAAAGAAAUCCAUCUGGUUAAUACCCGGGUGGGAUGACGGUACCCAAAGAAUAAGCACCGGCUAACUUCGUGCCAGCCGCCGCCGUAA
Molecule: ribosomal RNA, 506 nt
Filed under: uncultured bacterium
Lineage: Bacteria
Description: partial 16S ribosomal RNA
Rfam family: Bacterial small subunit ribosomal RNA
Source: RNAcentral